Long non-coding RNA from Papaver somniferum (opium poppy), 2225 nucleotides. RefSeq lists it as uncharacterized. Lineage: Eukaryota; Viridiplantae; Streptophyta; Magnoliopsida; Ranunculales; Papaveraceae. The record is from RefSeq and is a predicted model, not a curated record. The transcript is spliced from 9 exons.
CUCUCGUUCUCUUUUCUACCAGUAAAGAAAGUUCUCUCAUAUAUCACUAAAUACUCAUUGAAACCUAAAAUCUAUACCUUUGUCUGGUUUCUGAGAAAAAACUUUUUAGGGUUUAGAUUAUUAGGGCUCAGACACUAAAUUCUUCUUUCUAUUUCAAUUUCAGACUCCAAAUCUCACCUAAGGCUUCAGUUAUACUGAUUCAGAUCGAGUGUUCAUAUCAUUUUGGGUUACUAAGGGAUCUAACGGGUUCAGAUCUUAUGUGUAAAGUGAAACAUACUUUUGGGGUUAUAUACUAGAGGGAGGGAGGAAAGAAUUACAGAGUAAUCAUGAAUGAGCCAACGAAACCAUUUUGGUUGGUGAUGUUUUAAUGACAGGACCAUCAUCACCUAUCAUACCUCCAGAAAUUGCAUCACAUGUUCUUGAAGGUGUUGAGACUUGUGAUGGAAUGGAAUUCUUAGGAAUUUCUUCUUACGUAAUGGAUGUGAUGAUCUGUAUUCAGAGCUAUGGAGAGCUUGUGCUGGUCCUCUUGUUGAUGUCCUCAAGGUCAUAUGGAGCAAGUAAGACUCAUCAUCCCUAAACUGACAUGUAUUGAUCUUGCUUUUAUGGAUAGAAGCAUCGCAAAUGAAGAAUUAGUUUUCAGAGAAUUAUUGGAUGAACAAGAAACCGAUGAGGUUUAUGCAAGACUGACUUUGCAACCAUAACAUGAUCCGAAUGAACCUAGUAGUCAUGUACCAUGUACACAAGAACCACCAAGAGAGGGUGUUCAAUCAUUUUGCAAUAUUUUGACUGCGUCUGAUACUAGUACUCAUGGAGCGUUCUUCGUUCCUCGAAAACAUGCUAAUGAAAGUUUACCUCCGUGGGUCCAGUAGGCUAAAGCCGCUAAAAUGCUACUGAUGCGAGAGAUCCGCAUUGUCUUAGGUGAGGGUAUCGCGGUCGAGGUAAUAAACUCUUAAUAAGCUAGAAAUUAAAUUAGUCAGCAAAUUAAGUUUUUACCGUGGUUGAUAAUUCUUCUACGCUGCUUCAAAAAGGUAGUGCCCUUAAAAAGAUGGAUGAACAUACUUUAUUAAAUACUUCUCUUUUCAUGUCAAUUUGUGCAUCUGAAUCGAAUUACUCAGCUUGCGUUGUUCUCUAUUGGCCGUGUCAAAUAUCAUCUAUAACGCCUUUCAACUUAAUGACCUGCCCUGUAACUUAACCUUACCUGUGUUAAGCAUAAUUGAAGUCCAUAAUCUUUCUUUAUUAUUUUUUCCAACAAAGAAUUUAAUAGUGCAUUUGUAGUAGUAGUAGUAAAUGGUAUUGUUUAGUGGCUCACCAAGAUCAUAAAAGACAAAGUCUUUUGUUUCCAACACAAAACAAAAUUCUGUGUCUUAUACAAAUAUUGUAGAAUAAGGGCCUUCUACAAUUAACGAAAGAUAAAAGAGUAGACAAAAUAAUCUUUAAUUUUUUUUUUCCUUUUUUCUGAAAGGAAAUGAAAUUACUACUAAAAUAUAUUCAUGGGUAUAAGUGGCGGUUUAAGCAUAUUUUAGAGGUUUGUCACUUCUAAAGAUAUUGGUUGCAGGGGAUAUUUUUGUUUUUCUCAGAUACCAGGGCUUUAAAUUUCUAACUGUUUGUCCAUCUCUUUUUAGGAUUGCUUCUGGUCUCUUGUUUCUUCUUGUAUAGAGCGAAGAAUGGGAAUUUGUGUGUUGUAGUAAGGCAUCAUGCUAGGAAACAAAGCAAUAUGCCCUCACCUAAUCUACAUGCAAUCUGGAAUGUUUGUCUUGCUCCUGCAUUUGGCCAGAGAGUUUUAUUUAAACAAAUAUGAAGAACUUAUCGCUAUUCUUGACCUGCUUUCAGGACUGUGUCCUUUAACACGGUAAUAUAAUUUACAUUAAGCCGAUUUGUACGUACUAGAUGUCAUCAAAGUACUUGUAUACUUUGAACUUAUCUUGUUUGCUUACAACAAAGCACGUGUAUACUUUGAACUUAUCUUGUUUUUCGUGUCUUCAUUAGAAAAGUUAAUUAAGAUCAAUUACUAAUGUAUUGCUUUUCUUGUGUUUACAUGAAAGUAUACUCGACAAGUAGCUGGCCAGCUCUCAUGGUCAAUACUUCUACAAGUCAUGCAAGUCCAGGUUCACCAAUGAUUCCAAGUUUUAUUUUGAUUUAAACUGAAUUGCUUCAUUUUUGUUUGUAUUUUUUGGUAGUUUCUGUAUCAGAAUGUAUAUUUUUCAGAUUUCUAUAAUAUUAUGUAA